Felis catus (domestic cat) is the source of this 6488-nucleotide long non-coding RNA. RefSeq lists it as uncharacterized. The record is from RefSeq and is a predicted model, not a curated record. NCBI's taxonomy places the organism in Eukaryota, Metazoa, Chordata, Mammalia, Carnivora, Felidae. The transcript has 6 exons.
AGGACAGAAGGCGUGGCUGGGGACGCUGGAGGGUUGGGGUGGGGAGGCCGACGGGAUCCGCAGCUUGCAGCGUCGGUUCGGUACCCUCGGAUCUCCUCUAGGAGGAUGUAGGAUGAGACGGGCUUUUUUUCCUAGACACAGGGCAAGCUGGAAGCACUGGAGAAUUCAUUGGCCCAGAUGCAGGCUUCAGCCAAAGUGUGCAGAAGAACCAGCUUACUUUUUCAAGAAAAAGAAAUCUGGAACCUGGUUUAUUUUGCCUAAUGCUUUGGAUAAACCAAUCCAAAUCAGGUAAGUUGUCAGUUGUUUACAGUUGGAAGUCAGAUGUAGAACAGAUACCUAGAUCCAAUAAUUCUAUUAUCCAACAUUGUACAUCUACCCUAAUUUUCUAAGUUUCAAGAGCAAGAAAAAUGAGAAAAUAGUUCAUACUUACACUUUCAUUUUGGGGGCAGGGGGUGCACACCCAUUUGGCAACCUUGUGCCUCUCCAGCUUGCUCAGCACAUAAUGGCCCAUCCUCUGUUACAUAAAUCUUGCAGCCCAGACUGUACAUUUCUAUUAGGAAUAGUUUUGAAAUUUUAGGAAUUAAUUUCUUUUGGGAAAUACCUAAAUUCAGCUAUGAAUUAUGUUUAUGUAUAAAUUGUAAAAUAUACUCUGGAGUCACACAUCUCUACUGAAAGGAAAUGGCAGCUCUCUGCUCUAUGCCGGAAAGGGUAAGUCACCAGAAAUGGGUUUUGUUCUGGCUUAUUCUGUCAAGUACAUUUGUUUUAAAAAAUAUUUUAAUUUUGCUAUUUGACAUCUAGGGAAGAAAUCAUCAGCCAUACUAAAAUUAUUUAAAUCUAGCCAAGAGGAAAUUAGAGUGGACAAUCUUAGAAAUGUGUCAUUUUUAUUUUUUGAGACUUUGUACAAAUAAUAUGUCUUUCCCCAAAUAUAUUCAGAUUUAAUUACAAAAGGCAAGUCUGUAAAUGGACUAUAUCCCAGAUGGCAUUUUUAUUUUUAUUUCCUUGAGGUAUAACAUAACAAGACAGACACAAUAAGAGGCCUACAACUGUGAGAAAAAUGAUAUGGUUAUGAAAAUGUAAUUUGCUUUUAGUAUUUUAUUUUAAAAAGUCAAAUGGAAAGAAAAACUACUCAAUAAAAUAUAUUUGAAUUUACGAAGUUAACUUCUGCUAGGCUGUUUUCCAAACCGCUCAGAAGAUUGAAAGAGCUGCAAUAAUCCUAUUCCUCACUGGAUUAAAUAUUUAGCACAGCCAUCUAAGGUUAAGUAUCUUCUUUAUGUAAACUGCCAUAUUUUUCCUAUUUUUUCAUACUUGAUUCUAUUAGUAUGUGUGUCUUUUUAAUAAACGUAAACUUAUUUGACUUUAAUUUUUUUCUUGAGUUUAAUAUGCUUUUUAAACAAGUGAGCCUCAGAGAAUUAUAAUGAACCUUAAUUAUAUAUGUUGAAAAAUACUUUUACAGCUUAAGAAGAGCUAUACAAAUAUGAAAUGAUCAUUGUUAAUUGCACAGCAUGUCUUAUAUAAUGAGUUUCAAAUAAAUAAUCAGUAUCACAUGAAAAACUGUAAUUAUGUUAUUUAGCUCACAUGUAUAAUUCAAAAUAAGUACUUCAGCUAAGUAAUAUUUGCAUAGUCCAAGCAGAAUUUUUUUCCUCUUUAAUAUAUUUAAUGUUAAGACAAAAUCUGUAUGGAAAAGAAAUCUUGUUUAUGAAUUAUGGUAAGGCAUUAAAAAGUUUGUUCAGCUGAGAAGUCAGAUACCUGUAUGUACUUAUUCUUUAUGUAAAGAUAUGACUUAAGUGUGAUUGUCAUUGAUUUUUUGACAAUUUAAUGCUAGAUCCAAUUUAUAAAAGUAACUCAGAAUAGCAAUUUAAUACUGUCAAUUGCUUGACUAAAAUGAACAGAUGACAUUUUUUUAUUUCCCAAAGCAGUUGCUCAAACCAAAUAGGACAAAUUGGUUUUUAAGAUUUUACUUUUGGCUCACAACCUUGGCAACCCUUGGUCUGCAGAAAUGUCUUACCAUUUUCCCAUUUGGAGUUAACUGAUGUAUAAUUAGUGUGCCCAUCAGUUAUACCAAUGGCAGAAAUGCUAUAAGGCAAGGGAAGGUAGCUCUCACGAUUAAGAAAAUAAUCUAGACUCAGUUCUGUUUUAAAGGUACAAAACUGGAACUGUAUUUGCCCCUCAGUUGGCACACUUUCAGGGAGUUGAAUUAAACUAAUUGUUUUUAGUAAAUAACUCUAACGUGUAUAUAUUUCAAUCAUCCUAAAUCUUUCUUUUAAUAUAUUUUAUGCAAAAGGUAUUACAUGUUAAAAAUUUACUCCCCCUAUAUACUCUUAGUUCAGAAAUGAGAGAUGCACACAUCCAGGGUGAAAUCAAAAGUCAAUUUGGAGGUGUAAAUUCUAUAAACCAUGUAUAUAAAUUUAAGUUUUGCCAAAACUGUGUUUUUAUACAAAUUCACUGAAAUACAGUCCUCUUUGAAUGUUAGGCAAUACAAAAUUUACAGCAGUGGUAGAUUAUUAGAACAACAUGGCAUAACAUCUUGAUAAAAUUAAAAGUUUCACUGUUAGCCUUCAUAUUCCUAAAGAAAAAUUCUCAUGCAACACAUGCAGGCUGUAAUCGGUAUGAAACUCCAGUGUUACAGGAUGGUGAAGCAAGAUUUUUGGAUUUUGUAAGAAUACAUUUAUUAAUCUGACAGGAAAUUUGAGCCAGUGCAUUUUAUGAAGAUUUAGAUGUGGACAGUCAGUUGUUAAAUUUUAGCAAAUAAUUUUUAAUAUUACCUCCUAUUUAUCUUUUAUUUUUCCAGUAACUUAGUACAUCACUGUGUUUUCUCCUUUUCAAGGAGAAAGUAAACUUGUCUUUUCAGUUGCAUGAAAAAACAAAAAAACUGAUUGCUUACAUUUAGUUACAAUUUAUAAAGGCAGUACUGCAAAUUCAAACGGGUGGGGGGCAUACAGUCUUCUUUUGUUGUGUGUCUGUGUGCUGAUGGGGACUGGCUUUUCUUCCCAUUGUCCUAGUUUGAAAUGGAAAUGCUGCACUACUGAGAAAAUGCCAUGAAAAUAUAACCCACUGCAUUCCAGGAAAAUAAAUAAGCAAGGCCACCCAAAUUUUCAAUUAGUGCUCAUGCUGAAUGCAGGAAAUGGCAAGAGAUCCGUCCAAGGCGCCCUAGGCCGGGUCGUGGACACGGAGCAGUGACAGGAAGGCUGGAAAGGGAAUCGCAGGCACAGUGUGAAGAUGGCUUGUCUCCAAGGAAAACUGCAUGCUAAUAGGCUAGUACUGACUUCCUAAAGCAGACCAGUGGGUAUUACAUCCUGACCAAGGGUAAGCUUCAAGAUUUGGAAGUUUAAUAGUGAAGUAACACUUGAAAUUUCUGGUGGCAUUACUUAUUUUAUGUCAUAGGCUUAUUAAGCACUCUCAGUAUUCCCCACAAACAGUUUUAACCACCGGAAACAGCACUAUUCUGGACAGUUGGUGAAAAUUACAAAAUGCUUUUGAUUUAAAGUAUUAGGCAUAAGGAUCGAUUAUUUCCCACUUGGUGGCAUUGCUUGCUAACAUACCAGAGCCAGCGGGGGUUCAUGGGGGGAGUGGGGACAACUGGUUCAGAAGCAAAGCAGUUCUGUGAUGUCUCCUGAGUCAGCAAGAGAUGUAGGAACACAGAUUUCUAAGGGAGGUAAAAAGUUAUGAUUUAAAAGCCCCUUUCCUUGAUUGUGUUUUUCUGAAAUGCUCAAAUCACUAGUUUGAGAUUAGUACUUGAAAACCAAAAAAAAGAAUGAUAGAAAACAGUGGAUUCUUCGGGGGAUCAUGUACUCUCCUGCUUUGUCACUCUUUUACUUGCUUUCUGUUUCACUUCUCAGAUCUUCACUAAGCAUUUGGAGUUUUACAGCUCAUCAUAUUAAAGUUAGUUAAGGAAAAAAGAAGAAAAGGGGUUAGUUUUUCAGCAGCAUGGUGUUGGUUGAGCUUACAAAAAAGCCCCUAUCAUUUUGGAUGGAUUUUAACUGUGUUGUGGAUCUAAUUGUUUUUAACUUCAAGCUACACUAAAUUCUUUGAUCACCGUUACACCACACUGAUGAAAAGUAAAUCUACAUAUUUGAUGUAUUCUUACAACCAAGAAGUGAAAUAAUUGAGGAGCUAAUAUGGACUACAAUUAUUAAAAGAAGGAAUAAAAUUCAAGUGAUCUCACCAAGCUAUAAUUAUGUGGGCAGAAAGAGUGAUAUGGGAGAAUCACAUUCUUCAGACCACCCGUCUAUCUCGCACAGGCAGACAGAGCACGUCAUGGGUCCUGUCUCCCAAAAUUUUACCCAGAAUUGACCUUAUGCUAUAUGGCUUUGGAUUUCUUGAUUAGGGCCUAGAGGAUGUUCCUUUAAUGGAGACAUUUAGCUAGCAAAGGAGAACCAGCAUUUUUGAAAAACUCUACGUGACUGACAUCUAUAGGCCAGAGAUGAUGGUGGAAAAUGUUGCACCUAGAAGUGGCAGAUGGCAGUUGAUGGUGCUUAAGUGGCAGAGGCAAGUUGGGCAGAAUUACAAAGAAGCCACAGGAUGAGUGGUAGCCAUGGAUCUACAAUAACGGCUAAUUGAUCUAACUGCUACAAAUGAAAUUGAUGGGAAGCAUAUCAAGGAUAUAAUGUAUAUCAGAGGAAAAAUUCUAAUUUUGGUGGGCAGAAAUCCAACCUAAAUCAUUGUGGUGGGGAUCCAUGUCCUAAUACUAGUGCCUACACCUAAGGCAGUUCCCAGACCCAAGCUUCUAGAAUGAAGGAAAAAACAUUCUCUUAAAGGAAGGACCCUGAAAGGUGGCCCUAGACGUAUUUUGUCAUUCUCCCCCCAGGCCUUCCUAAAAAUACCUGUGCAUUCAUCAGGGCGACUGGACAUUGGGAGAAAUGGAGAUAUCCAGAUGUCUUGUAGAUUAUUUGAUAGUGGCUUCCAAGUGACCUGAAACUCCACCAUGGUCUGCCAGUUAGAGUGGAAGUUUAAGAAAGUCAGGUAAUUGAAGAAUCUUGGUCCAAGUCUGUCCCAGUGAGGCCAGUAGGACCACAGUUUUUCCCCCAGGCCAAGAAUGUAUAUAGAGAAGAAUAUACUUAAUUAUAUAUAUAAUUAGUAUCUGACAGAAUAUUCACUUUUGUUCUCUGGUGAAAAGAUGAAGUGGAAGGGUCUGGAAAUGUGCCUAUUUUCUUGUUCAUUGCAUAAAAAAACAGUAUAAACCAAAAUCAAUAAUGGAGCUCUGGGUGAAUUUCAGAGAUUUCAAAGACUUGAAAUAUGUAUGAUAGUGAUUUCCACUACAUCCCAAUUUAAUUAGCCUCUUAAUCUUAAUUCUGCUAUUGCAAAAUCCAGAUGAUUCAUGGAGAAUACCUGUAGAUGAGUUGUAAUUGAACUUUAGUAAGCAUCAGAAUCACAGCAGGGUCAUUAAAACACAGAUUCCUGGGUUCCAUCCCUAGAAUUUCUGAUUUAGCAGGUCUGGGGUAAAACCUAAGAAUUUCCAUUUCUAACAGGUUCUAGGUGAUAGUAAUCUUGCGGGUCCUGAGACCACUGUUUGAAAACUUCUGUCAAAGAUACCCAAAUUUAUUAAGAUGGAAAUGCUAAUUUCAUUUGCUUAUUUCCUGCCAUAUGAUAUACAGCAUUAAGCUAGAUUAAAAAAAGUUCCCCAUUCUUGAAAACAAAAGUACUCAAAGUAAUUUGCCUUUUAGAGGUCAUAUAUCCUUUCUCUCAUGCUUCUGCUCACUGUCAUAAUGUAAACUGAAGGGAAAUUCAUUAUUCUGAUAUCCCAUAGACCAACAAGGUGGCUCAUCAUAUUGAUGAUAUUAUGCUAAUAGACCUAGAGGGCAGGAAAUAUCAAGCAUUCUAGAUACCUUGAUGACACAUAUAUGUGGCAGAGAGUAGGAGAUAAACUCUGCAAAAGAUAAGGAACCUAAUAAAUUAGUGAUGUGUUUAGAGAUCUUGUGGUCUGGCAUAUAUUGGAAUAUAACCACAAGAAUAAGAGAUAAAUUGAUGUACCUUAUACUGCCUACCAUGAAGAAAGAAUUAUGGUACUAGUGGGAUUUGAAAACUUUGUGCAUCACAUUUUAGGGUGUGGUUAUGGCCCAGUUAGUGGGUAGUCCAUAAAUAAACCUUUUGUUUUUUCAGCCUGGUUGAAGUAUAAUUUGUACAAGGUAAAAUUAAUUAAAUUGAUGAAUUUUUACAAAUGUGUUCAAUUGUGUAACAACCACAAGACAACCAAAAUCAUGAUAUAGAACUUCUCCAUCAUCCUGAAAUGUUCCAUUGGGAUUUCACUCAAUCCCCUUACCCCACCCACUUAUCCCUCAUCUGCCUUCUAUUUAUGGUUUUGGCUUUUCUAAACUUCCAUAUAAUGAGAUCACACUGCAUGUAAAUCCUUUAAAUAUGACAUAUUUUUCUCAGCCUGGGUUUCUGAGCCUGGGUGCCUCAGUCAGUUGGGCGUCUGACUACAGUUCAGGUCAUGAUCUCACGGUUGGUUCCUGGGUUCCUGAGUUCGAGCCCCACAUCUGGCUCUGUGCUGA